This is a small nucleolar RNA of Gorilla gorilla gorilla (western lowland gorilla), 48 nucleotides long. Lineage: Eukaryota; Metazoa; Chordata; Mammalia; Primates; Hominidae. The record is from Ensembl.
AGGAUGUGAGGAGGAGCUCUCUGCCCUCUCCCCAACUCUGCUCUGAAG